UACAGAGGUCCCAAGCGUUGUUCGGAUUCAUUGGGCGUAAAGGGUGUGUAGGUGGCGCCGUAAGUCGGGUGUGAAAUCUCGGGGCUUAACUCCGAAACUGCAUUCGAUACUGGCGUGCUUGAGGACUGGAGAGGAGACUGGAAUUCAUGGUGUAGCAGUGAAAUGCGUAGAGAUCAUGAGGAAGACCAGUGGCGAAGGCGGGUCUCUGGACAGUUCCUGACACUGAGACACGAAGGCCAGGGGAGCAAACGGG
RNAcentral lists this ribosomal RNA (253 nucleotides) under uncultured bacterium. RNAcentral describes it as "partial 16S ribosomal RNA". It matches the Rfam family "Bacterial small subunit ribosomal RNA", at positions 524 to 776 of the family's 1533-position model. The record is from RNAcentral.